AAAUUGAAGAGUUUGAUCAUGGCUCAGAUUGAACGCUGGCGGCAGGCCUAACACAUGCAAGUCGAGCGGUAGCACAGAGAGCUUGCUCUCGGGUGACGAGCGGCGGACGGGUGAGUAAUGUCUGGGAAACUGCCUGAUGGAGGGGGAUAACUACUGGAAACGGUAGCUAAUACCGCAUAACGUCGCAAGACCAAAGUGGGGGACCUUCGGGCCUCAUGCCAUCAGAUGUGCCCAGAUGGGAUUAGCUAGUAGGUGGGGUAACGGCUCACCUAGGCGACGAUCCCUAGCUGGUCUGAGAGGAUGACCAGCCACACUGGAACUGAGACACGGUCCAGACUCCUACGGGAGGCAGCAGUGGGGAAUAUUGCACAAUGGGCGCAAGCCUGAUGCAGCCAUGCCGCGUGUGUGAAGAAGGCCUUCGGGUUGUAAAGCACUUUCAGCGGGGAGGAAGGCGUUAAGGUUAAUAACCUUGGCGAUUGACGUUACCCG
RNAcentral lists this ribosomal RNA (489 nucleotides) under Klebsiella pneumoniae. Its description in RNAcentral is "bacterial SSU rRNA". It matches the Rfam family "Bacterial small subunit ribosomal RNA", at positions 1 to 481 of the family's 1533-position model. Lineage: Bacteria; Pseudomonadati; Pseudomonadota; Gammaproteobacteria; Enterobacterales; Enterobacteriaceae. The record is from RNAcentral.